Molecule: ribosomal RNA, 392 nt
Filed under: uncultured bacterium
Lineage: Bacteria
Description: partial 16S ribosomal RNA
Rfam family: Bacterial small subunit ribosomal RNA
Source: RNAcentral
AUACGGAGGAUGCGAGCGUAUCCGGAUUUAUUGGGUUUAAAGGGAGCGUAGGUGGGAUAUUAAGUCAGCUGUGAAAGUUUGGGGCUCAACCUUAAAAUUGCAGUUGAUACUGGUUUCCUUGAGUACGGUAUAGGUGGGCGGAAUUCGUGGUGUAGCGGUGAAAUGCUUAGAUAUCACGAAGAACUCCGAUCGCGAAGGCAGCUCACCGGGCCGGAACUGACACUGAUGCUCGAAAGUGCGGGUAUCAAACAGGAUUAGAUGCCCUGGUAGUCCGCACAGUAAACGAUGAAUACUCGCUGUUUGCGAUACACCGUAAGCGGCCAAGCGAAAGCGUUAAGUAUUCCACCUGGGGAGUACGCCGGCAACGGUGAAACUCAAAUGAAUUGACUGGG